RNAcentral lists this long non-coding RNA (634 nucleotides) under Gallus gallus (chicken). Its description in RNAcentral is "long non-coding RNA NONGGAT001303". Lineage: Eukaryota; Metazoa; Chordata; Aves; Galliformes; Phasianidae. The record is from RNAcentral.
GUAAAAUAUGGAAGUAACGUCAGUCUAUUUCUUAUUAAGAGCUAGCAGUUCUCUUUGUCAGCAGUGUCCAUGUCCUCAACCUCUUGUGUAAUCUGGGGGAGAUUUCCACUGCUGCCUCCCAGACUGAUACUGGAGGAGGUGGAGCUGGAACUCAAGCCGGAGUCUGGCACCGGAGAGGACUGGUAUUCCCGCAGAAAGUCAAAGCCACCUGCCAGCAGAAAGGGAGGAGAUAAAGAUGGAAUGCAGUGUUGGGCCAGUGUUACAGAUGAACGCAUCCACAAGAGCAGAUUUUUUCCGAGCUUCUGUGGGGAAACAUGGGAGAAACCUGCAGAACAUAACAGCCCUCAAAGAAUGACGAGACUGAAAAUGGCAUUGUUUUUAACUGUGCAGAAUCCAUUGCAAAAUGAAGAAUAUCAAAAACAAGACAGUUUUCUCUUUCACUGCUCAAGGACUACAACACUUGAAAAACAAAUGUUUCAUGGCAUUUACAUUUGGAACUAUGCCUUUUUGUAGAACUAAUUUUGAAGUUAGCUACGUACAUGAAAAAUUCAGCUCAUUUCCCUGGGCUAGCUGGACACUGUAAAGCAAUCUGUAGGAUGGACUUCUUAGGACAAUUAUAUUGUCCCAGUGUUAC